CAGUCGGACGGCAGCACGGACUUCGGUCUGGUGGCGAGUGGCGAACGGGUGAGUAAUGUAUCGGAACGUGCCCAGUAGCGGGGGAUAACUACGCGAAAGCGUGGCUAAUACCGCAUACGCCCUACGGGGGAAAGCGGGGGACCUUCGGGCCUCGCACUAUUGGAGCGGCCGAUAUCGGAUUAGCUAGUUGGUGGGGUAACGGCUCACCAAGGCAACGAUCCGUAGCUGGUUUGAGAGGACGACCAGCCACACUGGGACUGAGACACGGCCCAGACUCCUACGGGAGGCAGCAGUGGGGAAUUUUGGACAAUGGGGGCAACCCUGAUCCAGCCAUCCCGCGUGUGCGAUGAAGGCCUUCGGGUUGUAAAGCACUUUUGGCAGGAAAGAAACGGCGCCGGCUAAUACCUGGCGCUAAUGACGGUACCUGCAGAAUAAGCACCGGCUAACUACGUGCCAGCAGCCGCGGUAAUACGUAGGGUGCAAGCGUUAAUCGGAAUUACUGGGCGUAAAGCGUGCGCAGGCGGUUCGGAAAGAAAGAUGUGAAAUCCCAGAGCUUAACUUUGGAACUGCAUUUUUAACUACCGGGCUAGAGUGUGUCAGAGGGAGGUGGAAUUCCGCGUGUAGCAGUGAAAUGCGUAGAUAUGCGGAGGAACACCGAUGGCGAAGGCAGCCUCCUGGGAUAACACUGACGCUCAUGCACGAAAGCGUGGG
Molecule: ribosomal RNA, 711 nt
Filed under: Bordetella sp.
Lineage: Bacteria; Pseudomonadati; Pseudomonadota; Betaproteobacteria; Burkholderiales; Alcaligenaceae
Description: bacterial SSU rRNA
Rfam family: Bacterial small subunit ribosomal RNA
Source: RNAcentral